UAGAGUGUCAAGCAGGCAGAUCAAUUUCUUGCCAGCGAAUACAUUAGCAUGGGAUAAUGGAAUAGGACCCUGUCCUCCUAUUUUCAGUUGGUUUUGGCAGCGCGAGGACUAGGGUAAUGAUUAAUAGGGAUAGUUGGGGGCAUUAAUAUUUAAUUGUCAGAGGUGAAAUUCUUGGAUUUAUGAAAGAUUAACUUCUGCGAAAGCAUCUGCCAAGGAUGUUUUCAUUAAUCAAGAACGAAAGUUAGGGGAUCGAAGACGAUCAGAUACCGUCGUAGUCUUAACCAUAAACGAUGCCGACCAGCGAUUAGGAGACGUUGAAUACAAAACACCACCAUCGGCGCGGUCGUCCUUGGCGUCUCGGUCCUUCACGGGGCCGGGGCGCGGGGUGCGGCUUAGCCCGGUGGCACCGGUGAAUG
RNAcentral lists this ribosomal RNA (416 nucleotides) under Acanthamoeba sp. ICL18/T4. Its description in RNAcentral is "SSU rRNA". The stretch from base 1 to 365 matches the Rfam family "Eukaryotic small subunit ribosomal RNA", at positions 767 to 1115 of the family's 1831-position model. Lineage: Eukaryota; Discosea; Longamoebia; Acanthamoebidae. The record is from RNAcentral.